GCUGUUCUGAGGCAAGAGUACUGCGAGUUUUCUGUGUCUGCCAGGCCAGUCCUUGGCGAGUGCAACAGGCACUACGUGGGCAGCUUCGCGUUGUCCUUCUUUGAGCGGGCGUGGCCCACCGAGGCCCAGGGAACUCAUUCUACGGAGCGCGACAGCAGACAAACAAGUUGGUCCGCGUGGUCUUUAAGGCACCUGGAGCCUUGUAUCCAGCCGAGCGCCAGUUUUAACCCUUUCCACACCACGUUCUACUUUCCCCGCGCUUCCACAAGACCCAGUCUUCCCAGGCAGCGCAUUUUGUUCCUUCGCUCCUAAGUCACCCUGAGAGACCCCCAUGAUUGUGUCGUUGUGGGUGUGAUCGUCAUCUUUGUCUUCAUGAAACGAGAACCAACAUGCUUUCACUAUUCCAGGCUGGAGUGCAACGGCGCGAUCUCGGCUCACUGCAACCUCUGGCUCCCGGUUUCAAGCGAUUCUCCUGCCUCAGCCUCCCGAGUAGCCGGAAUUACAGGCGCCUGCCACCACGCCUGGCUAAUUUUUUGUAUUUUUAGUAAAGACGGGAUUUUACCAUGUCGGCCAGGCUGGUCUCGAACUCCUGACCUCAGGUGAUCCUCCCGCCUCGGCCUCCCAAAGUGCUGGGAUUACAGGCGUGAGCCACUGCCCCCGGCUGCUUCCACUAUUUCUAAGCACUUUCCCUGCGGUGUGUUGGUAAAGGGGGACCCUGCAGUCAGGGGUUCAAUUCUAGUUUCUAAAUAUAGGGGGAGUCGCUUCUGAACGAAGUUUGUUCUGCUUUGUUUGGUUUUUAAGAAUGGAUUGUGCUCGGAAUACACAGUCCCGCGCAAAUCAGAAUUCCUUAGGUGCAUUUUCAACACCUACAAUGUGCCUGACGCAGGGCCAGGACUAUAGACAUGAAAUAUCCGGUCUUGGAGGAAUCCAUUUUCUUACGGGAAGCAACAUUAUAAAUUUGGAAAUGAUUGACCAUUCCCCAAUCCCCACUUCCAAAGCAAACGCACGAAACACUACUGAAUAUGAUCAAUACUGCCUUUGUGUUUAAUUUCCUCUCCUGAGUAGUCAGCCGCCAAUCCAGUGAGCAAUUAUUAGGCGCUUGGCACGUGCCAGCGCUGUGAAUCCAGUGAACAGAUAGUGUUAGACUGGUGAGUGCGGCGAAAAAAACAAAACUGGAUAACGCGGCCCUUCCAGAACGAAGACAAAAUGAUGACAUUCAGAGCUAAACAAAAACUAACAGAACUAAUCACCAGAAGAUUCAUACUUGAAGAAAUGUUACAGAAAGUUAUUCAUGUUGAAGAAAAAUGAUACCUGAUGGAAAAUUUAGAUGUUCCAGAAGGAAUGAAGAUCACUGAAAAUGGUCAAUAUAUAUAAUCCGUAUGACAACUAAGAAUGAAGGAUGAAGGGAGAAGAGGUGGCUGCUGGGUAAGGCCGUCUCUAUGAGUCUAACAAUCUGCAAGGUUCUUACAUUUUACAUGAAGUGCUGCAAUAUUAGCUCUAAGUGGACCAGGAGAGUUAAGAAUGUGUAUAUUGUAAUCCCUAAGCAACGACUAAAAAUAGUUGAAAUAUAGUUAAAAUGAUAACAUAUAAAUUGCAAUGGAAUUUCAAAAUAUUUUUUUCCCAAAUAAGCCAAAAUAAGGUUAAAAAAAAAAAAAAGAAACAAAUGAAUAAAAAACAGAUGGGAAGAUAUAAGACAAAUAGUAAAAUGGUAGACGUAAACCCAAUCCCAUCAAUACUUACCUUAUAU
Non-coding RNA from Chlorocebus sabaeus (green monkey), 1747 nucleotides. Lineage: Eukaryota; Metazoa; Chordata; Mammalia; Primates; Cercopithecidae. The record is from RefSeq and is a predicted model, not a curated record.